Non-coding RNA from Pelobates cultripes (western spadefoot toad), 253 nucleotides. NCBI's taxonomy places the organism in Eukaryota, Metazoa, Chordata, Amphibia, Anura, Pelobatidae. The record is from the annotation of a GenBank genome assembly.
AUAGGCGUUUGUGAUGUGCGAUCAUGUGCCUUCGCAAAGCAGUUGUACCUAGGUGGGUGUUGGACUUCCCACGACUCAGUUUCUUUUGGCACAGGUUGCAAAUGGCAUCGCUGUUGUCAGAGGCAGACACACAAAAAAAAUGCCACACUGCUGAGCUCUGCAAAGACGGCAUUCUGGUGGUGGCAACAGCAUGCGUUGAUUGGCGUGCUGUCUGGCUGACCCCGGGUGCCGAUGCAUGCUGUCUGACUGUGCC